Dunckerocampus dactyliophorus (ringed pipefish) is the source of this 204-nucleotide small nucleolar RNA. RefSeq annotates it as small nucleolar RNA SNORA53. The record is from RefSeq and is a predicted model, not a curated record. Lineage: Eukaryota; Metazoa; Chordata; Actinopteri; Syngnathiformes; Syngnathidae. The transcript has a single exon.
UACACGCUCCUUAGAUCCACCUCUGGAGGGCACUGUUCUCUGAACAGCGGCCCUCAGCAGCUUGCUGGCUGUACAGUUGGAGGUGCUUGAGUCAUUGGCGUGUUAAAGCAGUCUACCUGUUCCCCGGCUCACCUGCACCACUGGCAACCCUGUCCAAUACUGACAGGGAUUCAUCCAGUGUUGCUAGCCAGGGGGACGGACAUC